UUUCAUUUGCUGUCCUUCAAUGAGGGUUUCGGGGGAUGGAAACUCUGACAGAGAGCGGAAGAAAUAGAGAGAGAGAGAGAGAGAGAGAGAGAUGCCGAUGGGAAGAAAGCGCAGGGGAGAGGUAUGGGUGAUGGAUUUCAAAAGUGGGAAAAUGGGUUUUGUCUUCUCGGUUUUCACUGAAUUCGGGGGUUGGCGUGUACAGUUUCAUUUGCUGUCCUUCAAUGAGGGUUUCAGGGGGAAGAAAGAACAAUUGUGGGUUAAAGUCUUCAUAUUUGAAAGUUGAAUCUCAGCCUUUGAAAGGCUUUGUGAACGUGUCUUCGCGUGUGCAGCAGCACUCUGCAGCGAGAACUUUUUUUGAUUUUUCAUUCGAAUCGAUUCUAUUUUUUACCCAGAAAAGUUAGCGGUUACUGGCUCGAAUCCUCCUCUUCUUCUUCAUCCAAACCUGUAGCCCCACCUUUGAUUAUUACCGACGGAAACACGACGGAUUAAGGCGCAGCACCAAUACUGUAACACUUAGGAGAAAAGAGGCCCAAACCCGCAAAGAUUCGUUCGAACACUUGCAGGAAGAAAUAACGAGGCUGUUGAAGUGUAGUACGAAGGUUUACUUUGAAGCCAAGGUUAAGAAAAAAGAGCGGAUUUUUGGAAGGAGGCUUCGAUUCAAUUAUUGGAAUAGAUAAUAUUUAUUGAAACUUCAAUGGGUCAAUAGAAGCUGGCUGCUUGCAAAGGCAAGAACAUCAGUAUAUAUGCAUUGGAAUUUGUUGCGCUAGGAUAUGAAGAAGUGGAAAUGUACCUGAUGGAAUGAGAGUUUUGCUGCUUAAGACAAAGAAUGCUGCUAUUUCAAAGCUGGAGGAGCCAUUGUUGAUUAAUCCUAGGAAAUAUGAGGCUCUGUGGUGCUGGGAAAUGCUUAAACUGCUUGCACAUUAUGCACUCCGGACCAGAAUGAGGCAAAUGUUCCAAAAGGUGUUGUAUUGCUUCCAGAAGGCUUUCAAUGAGGUUCUUCCACUUACAAAUUUGUUAUUCUUGGAAUUUGUAAUCCCGCAGCAACGCGCGGGCAUUACUAGCUAGUUUAUACUAAAGAGUGAGAAUAACUUGGUAUAAAACUCAACUUCGUAAAAUUUAAAUUUAAAUAAAGAGAAAUAGUAUUAAACUGUA
Long non-coding RNA from Pyrus x bretschneideri (Chinese white pear), 1152 nucleotides. RefSeq lists it as uncharacterized. The record is from RefSeq and is a predicted model, not a curated record. The transcript has 6 exons. Lineage: Eukaryota; Viridiplantae; Streptophyta; Magnoliopsida; Rosales; Rosaceae.